Molecule: non-coding RNA, 45 nt
Filed under: Trichobilharzia regenti
Lineage: Eukaryota; Metazoa; Platyhelminthes; Trematoda; Strigeidida; Schistosomatidae
Source: RNAcentral
AUCCAGUUGUCGAGUCCCGAAUAGGACGAAAUGCGCAUCCUGGAU